GAUGAACGCUGGCGGCGUGCCUAAUACAUGCAAGUCGAGCGAACAGACGAGGAGCUUGCUCCUCUGACGUUAGCGGCGGACGGGUGAGUAACACGUGGAUAACCUACCUAUAAGACUGGGAUAACUUCGGGAAACCGGAGCUAAUACCGGAUAAUAUAUUGAACCGCAUGGUUCAAUAGUGAAAGGCGGUUUUGCUGUCACUUAUAGAUGGAUCCGCGCCGCAUUAGCUAGUUGGUAAGGUAACGGCUUACCAAGGCAACGAUGCGUAGCCGACCUGAGAGGGUGAUCGGCCACACUGGAACUGAGACACGGUCCAGACUCCUACGGGAGGCAGCAGUAGGGAAUCUUCCGCAAUGGGCGAAAGCCUGACGGAGCAACGCCGCGUGAGUGAUGAAGGUCUUAGGAUCGUAAAACUCUGUUAUUAGGGAAGAACAAAUGUGUAAGUAACUAUGCACGUCUUGACGGUACCUAAUCAGAAAGCCACGGCUAACUACGU
This 496-nucleotide ribosomal RNA is filed under the name uncultured bacterium. Its description in RNAcentral is "partial 16S ribosomal RNA". It matches the Rfam family "Bacterial small subunit ribosomal RNA", at positions 28 to 506 of the family's 1533-position model. The record is from RNAcentral.